GUGCUUGUUUCAGUAGCACAUUAUACUAUAAUGGGAAUGAUACAGAGAAGAUUAGCAUGGCCCCUGCACAAGAAUGACACUCAAAUUCAUGAAGCAUUCCUUAUUUUU
This is a small nuclear RNA of Octodon degus (degu), 108 nucleotides long. NCBI's taxonomy places the organism in Eukaryota, Metazoa, Chordata, Mammalia, Rodentia, Octodontidae. The record is from Ensembl.